This 439-nucleotide ribosomal RNA is filed under the name uncultured bacterium. RNAcentral describes it as "bacterial SSU rRNA". It matches the Rfam family "Bacterial small subunit ribosomal RNA", at positions 958 to 1398 of the family's 1533-position model. The record is from RNAcentral.
AACGCGAAGAACCUUACCUGGGCUUGACAUCCUGUGAACAUCUAAGAGAUUAGGUUUCCGAGCAAUCGGACACAGAGACAGGUGCUGCAUGGCUGUCGUCAGCUCGUGCCGUGAGGUGUUGGGUUAAGUCCCGCAACGAGCGCAACCCUUGUCGUGUGUUGCCAUACCGAAAGGUGGAACUCGCAGGAGACCGCCAGGGAUAACCUGGAGGAAGGUGGGGAUGACGUCAAGUCCUCAUGGCCUUUAUGUCUAGGGCUACACACGUGCUACAAUGGACGGUACAAAGCGUCGCUAACCUGCGAAGGGGAGCCAAUCGCAAAAAACCGUUCUACAGUUCGGAUUGCAGGCUGCAACUCGCCUGCAUGAAGCUGGAAUCGCUAGUAAUGGCAGAUCAGCACGCUGCCGUGAUACGUUCCCGGCCUUGUACACACCGCGCAUA